This 641-nucleotide ribosomal RNA is filed under the name Aurantiporus mayaensis. RNAcentral's name for it is "partial 28S large subunit rDNA". It matches the Rfam family "Eukaryotic large subunit ribosomal RNA", at positions 57 to 682 of the family's 3401-position model. The record is from RNAcentral. Lineage: Eukaryota; Fungi; Basidiomycota; Agaricomycetes; Polyporales; Meruliaceae.
AAAAGAAACUAACAAGGAUUCCCCUAGUAACUGCGAGUGAAGCGGGAAAAGCUCAAAUUUAAAAUCUGGCGGCCUUCGGUCGUCCGAGUUGUAGUCUGGAGAAGCGUCUUCCGCGCUGGACCGUGUACAAGUCUCUUGGAACAGAGCGUCGUAGAGGGUGAGAAUCCCGUCUUUGACACGGACUACCAGUGCUUUGUGAUGCGCUCUCAAAGAGUCGAGUUGUUUGGGAAUGCAGCUCAAAAUGGGUGGUAAAUUCCAUCUAAAGCUAAAUAUUGGCGAGAGACCGAUAGCGAACAAGUACCGUGAGGGAAAGAUGAAAAGCACUUUGGAAAGAGAGUUAAACAGUACGUGAAAUUGCUGAAAGGGAAACGCUUGAAGUCAGUCGCGUCGUCCAGAACUCAACCUGGCUUUUGCUUGGUGCACUUUCUGGUUGACGGGCCAGCAUCAGUUUUGACCGUCGGACAAAGUCCUUUGGAAUGUGGCACCUUCGGGUGUGUUAUAGCCUUGGGUCGUAUACGAUGGUUGGGAUUGAGGACCGCAGCACGCCAUUUGGCCGGGGUUCGCCCACGUACGUGCUUAGGAUGCUGGCGUAAUGGCUUUAAACGACCCGUCUUGAAACACGGACCAAGGAGUCUAACAUA